Molecule: ribosomal RNA, 254 nt
Filed under: uncultured bacterium
Lineage: Bacteria
Description: partial 16S ribosomal RNA
Rfam family: Bacterial small subunit ribosomal RNA
Source: RNAcentral
UACGGAGGGGGCUAGCGUUGUUCGGAAUUACUGGGCGUAAAGCGCGUGUAGGCGGCCAUCUAAGUCGGGCGUGAAAUCCCACGGCUCAACCGUGGAAGUGCACUCGAAACUGGAUGGCUAGAGUCCUGGAGAGGAAGGUGGAAUGCUUGGUGUAGAGGUGAAAUUCGUAGAUAUCAAGCGGAACACCGGUGGCGAAGGCGGCCUUCUGGACAGUGACUGACGCUGAGACGCGAAAGCGUGGGGAGCAAACAGGG